Long non-coding RNA from Choloepus didactylus (southern two-toed sloth), 354 nucleotides. RefSeq lists it as uncharacterized. The record is from RefSeq and is a predicted model, not a curated record. The transcript has 3 exons. Lineage: Eukaryota; Metazoa; Chordata; Mammalia; Pilosa; Megalonychidae.
AAAAGAGCAAAGGCAGUUUGUUUUUUUCUCCCUGGCUGCUUUUUGAGAUCCACCCUCCACCUUCCUUCCGGCUACGCUGAGCCUUGAGAAGGGGACCCACAGGGGCUACAUGGACUUUGCCCUCUGGUUCAGUAAUCUGUGCAUUGAAACCCAGGAAUACUUUCCAGUCCUCCCCCAAGGUUGCCAAGUGGAAUGCUUACAUAGAAACCUGGCCAGGCAAAGGAACCCCUUACAGCUGCCUGACAGGUGAGCUCUAACUUGUGCUGGAGAUAAAGCAGGGCAAGUGGCUUUCACUGCUUUUUCUUGGAUUUACUUCUCUAAUGGCAAAAAAAAAACAAAAAAAAAAACAAAAGG